CCCGGACGAAAGCCGGGCUAAUACCGCAUAUGGCCUACGGGUCAAAGCAGCAAUGCGCCUUUAGAUGAGCCUGCGUCCCAUUAUUUAAUCCUAGUUGGCGGGGUAAUGGCCCACCAAGGGUACGAUGGGUAGCUGGUCUGAGAGGACGAUCAGCCACACUGGGACUGAGACACGGCCCAGACUCCUACGGGAGGCAGCAGUGGGGAAUAUUGCGCAAUGGGCGAAAGCCUGACGCAGCCAACCCGCGUGUGUGAUGAAGGCCUUCGGGUUGUAAAGCACUGUCGUGAGGGAAGAAGUUCUGACGGUACCUCACAAGAAAGCACCGGCUAACCCCGUGCCAGCAGCCGCGGUAAUACGGGGGGUGCAAGCGUUGCUCGGAAUCACUGGGCGUAAAGCGUCCGCAGGCGGGACGGUCAGUCGAAUGUGAAAGCCCGGGGCUCAACCCCGGAACUGCGUUCGAUACUGCCGUCCUCGAGUUCGGGAGAGGGGAGCGGAAUUCCUGGUGUAGAGGUGAAAUUCGUAGAUAUCAGGAG
This 533-nucleotide ribosomal RNA is filed under the name uncultured bacterium. RNAcentral describes it as "bacterial SSU rRNA". It matches the Rfam family "Bacterial small subunit ribosomal RNA", at positions 147 to 703 of the family's 1533-position model. The record is from RNAcentral.